This 44-nucleotide non-coding RNA is filed under the name Schistosoma margrebowiei. Lineage: Eukaryota; Metazoa; Platyhelminthes; Trematoda; Strigeidida; Schistosomatidae. The record is from RNAcentral.
ACCCAGCUGACGAGUCUCAAAAAGGAGGAAUGCGCGUCCUGGGU